AAUUGAACUUUCUAAAAUCAAAACGUCAUCAAAUAAAUGACGCAAAGCGAAGGGGCAAAAUCGGUAGACUUCUAUCUUCCCAUUGUAUAAGUUAGAAGAUUGCCUGUUUACAGGCAGUUCAGACGGGGUUGGAGUUGGGAUUUCGUCGGGUAGUGGUUGAAGGCGACGCUCUCAGUGUUAUUAAAGAAGUCCAAAACGAAGAAGAAGAUAGAUCAGUAUUAAGUUGUUAUAUUUCUGAUAUAAAAGUCUUUUAAGUAAAAUAUUUGACGGAUGCUGGUUCAAGAAAAUUUCUAGAACGGGAAAUGGAACGGCACAUGCAGUUGCAAGAGAGGGUUUGAAGCGAAAUGAAUCCACUUACCUAGAAGGCCGAAUGCCGAGGUCAGUGAUAAUGGCGGUGGAGGAGGAUGACAAGAGGCCUGGAUCUGCCAUAGAGAGGAAGAAAUUUCGGGAAUUUUUCGUUUUUGGCAGAGGAACAGUUUCAUUAUAGAGGAGUCUUGGAGGCGGGGGCUUUUAUGUCUUUUUGGGCUGAGUAGGAAUAGUCUAUUUGGAUUUGUAAUGUGUGUACAGAACAGGUUUUUUUGCAAAUGCUCAACUCAAAUCUGCCCAUUGUAUAAGUUUACCAUCUUUGGCAGCCGAAGGUAUUAUCUUUUCAUCAUUCAUUGUUGGGAAUCAAACCACUUUAUUAUAUGACAGUCCGAAAUUUGAAUUGCUUGUUUUGGAAUCUAAGCUCUCUUUUUUUUCUGUUGCAAUUUAAGCUUGAAUUUCAACUACAAUAUGCAGAUUUGAGAUGCGUACUGCGAUUUUGCAGUAUAAGAAACAGAGCACUAAAAGCAUAACACAAAAUUCUAAUCUUUAAACCCGGGCUAUAAAAAAAAAAAAACAGCCUUGUUUUAGUUAACAUAUUUCUAUUUUUACAGGCGAAAUUAGCACCAAAUCAGUAAUUCCCCAAAAGCCAAAAAGAAUGAAAAUAAACCAAAAUCCAUCUAUGGAUUUCACAGUUUAUCUCAAGUAUCACCAACAUUGAUCGGUUUCCCAUGUUCGUUUCGAAUAACCAGAAAACCCAGAAAACGUUGGACCGGCCAUCGAUUCGACGGAAACAGAAAAGGACCGCCUUGGCCUGAACAACAACGUUCGAUCAUAAUCCGCCCGUUUCUCAGGAUCCGAUAGCGUAGAGUAGGCUUCAUGUACUUUGAUGAACUCGUUGGCAGCGACGUCGUUUCGACCAUUAGCCGAGACAUCAGGGUGUAGAACGCGCGCCAGUCUCCGGUAAGCAGCCUUGAUUUCCUUACUCGUGGCGCCAAUCUGAAUCCCCAAUACCUCGUACAGUGACGAUGGGCAAGCAAUGUGGGAAACCGUUCUCUCACCCGUCGACGCACAAGCGGCGGAGACGCGAAGUUGCGGAAAAUGAACACGUGCCGGCAUGGAGCUCGGUUCUUUGAUGGAAACCUUAUGGCCCAUGAAAUGAGGAGAGGAAGAGGUGAAAGAAGCCAACGCAGAAGAUGCGGAAGCCAUGAUGGUUGACUGUUGGAUUUGCGGUUGAAGAAAUUAAAGUUGGGGAAAACAGGGACAUGGUUGAAGGGUAUUUAUAGAGUUAACUCAACCGGAGUUAGAUCGGUUGGGUUAACAAAAUUUCUACAGAUAGCUUAUCCAUACACAUAGAAUCCGUGCUGACUCAGCGAACCGUCGGCGUUUCUGAAACCCACAGGUUGCGUUGUCAAGCUGGCACUAACUCACUU
Molecule: long non-coding RNA, 1736 nt
Filed under: Gossypium barbadense (sea-island cotton)
Lineage: Eukaryota; Viridiplantae; Streptophyta; Magnoliopsida; Malvales; Malvaceae
Description: long non-coding RNA (GBAR_LNC000314)
Source: RNAcentral